UACGUAGGGGGCAAGCGUUGUCCGGAAUCAUUGGGCGUAAAGCGCGUGUAGGCGGCCUUGUAAGUCCGUUCUGAAAGUCCGGGGCUCAACCCCGGGAGGCGGAUGGAUACUGCAAGGCUCGAGUCCGGAAGAGGCGAGUGGAAUUCCCGGUGUAGCGGUGAAAUGCGCAGAUAUCAGGAGGAACACCUGUGGCGAAAGCGGCUCACUGGACCAUAACUGACGCUGAUGCACGAAAGCUAGGGGAGCAAACAGG
RNAcentral lists this ribosomal RNA (253 nucleotides) under uncultured bacterium. RNAcentral describes it as "partial 16S ribosomal RNA". It matches the Rfam family "Bacterial small subunit ribosomal RNA", at positions 524 to 776 of the family's 1533-position model. The record is from RNAcentral.